AAGCAUUGUGGCAUUGUGAUUGGU
This 24-nucleotide microRNA is filed under the name Medicago truncatula (barrel medic). RNAcentral's name for it is "mtr-miR2600b". The record is from miRBase by way of RNAcentral. Lineage: Eukaryota; Viridiplantae; Streptophyta; Magnoliopsida; Fabales; Fabaceae.